AUUGAACGCUGGCGGCAGGCCUAACACAUGCAAGUCGAGCGGAUGAAGGGAGCUUGCUCCUGGAUUCAGCGGCGGACGGGUGAGUAAUGCCUAGGAAUCUGCCUGGUAGUGGGGGAUAACGUCCGGAAACGGGCGCUAAUACUGCAUACGUCCUGAGGGAGAAAGUGGGGGAUCUUCGGACCUCACGCUAUCAGAUGAGCCUAGGUCGGAUUAGCUAGUUGCUGGGGUAAAGGCCUACCAAGGCGACGAUCCGUAACUGGUCUGAGAGGAUGAUCAGUCACACUGGAACUGAGACACGGUCCAGACUCCUACGGGAGGCAGCAGUGGGGAAUAUUGGACAAUGGGCGAAAGCCUGAUCCAGCCAUGCCGCGUGUGUGAAGAAGGUCUUCGGAUUGUAAAGCACUUUAAGUUGGGAGGAAGGGCAGUAAGUUAAUACCUUGCUGUUUUGACGUUACCAACAGAAUAAGCACCGGCUAACUUCGUG
Molecule: ribosomal RNA, 484 nt
Filed under: uncultured bacterium
Lineage: Bacteria
Description: partial 16S ribosomal RNA
Rfam family: Bacterial small subunit ribosomal RNA
Source: RNAcentral